AGAGUUUGAUCCUGGCUCAGGAUGAACGCUAGCGACAGGCUUAACACAUGCAAGUCGAGGGGCAGCGGGGGAGUAGCAAUACUCCCGCCGGCGACCGGCGCACGGGUGAGUAACACGUAUGAAACCUGCCCGUAGCAGGGGGAUAAGCGGAAGAAAUUCCGUCUAAUACCGCGUAACAACCCUUGGAGGCAUCUCCUCGGGUUUAAAGGGAGCGAUUCCGGCUACGGAUGGUCAUGCGUCGCAUUAGCUUGUUGGCGGGGUAACGGCCCACCAAGGCGACGAUGCGUAGGGGUUCUGAGAGGAAGGUCCCCCACACUGGUACUGAGACACGGACCAGACUCCUACGGGAGGCAGCAGUGAGGAAUAUUGGUCAAUGGCCGCAGGGCUGAACCAGCCAAGUCGCGUGAGGGAUGACGGUCCUAUGGAUUGUAAACCUCUUUUGUCAGGGAGCAAAGGGCGCCACGUGUGGCGUUUUGCGAGUACCUGAAGAAAAAGCAUCGGCUAACUCCGUGCCAGCAGCCGCGGUAAUACGGAGGAUGCGAGCGUUAUCCGGAUUUAUUGGGUUUAAAGGGUGCGCAGGCGGAAUGUCAAGUC
Molecule: ribosomal RNA, 594 nt
Filed under: uncultured bacterium
Lineage: Bacteria
Description: bacterial SSU rRNA
Rfam family: Bacterial small subunit ribosomal RNA
Source: RNAcentral